Molecule: ribosomal RNA, 253 nt
Filed under: uncultured bacterium
Lineage: Bacteria
Description: partial 16S ribosomal RNA
Rfam family: Bacterial small subunit ribosomal RNA
Source: RNAcentral
UACGGGGGGGGCAAGCGUUGUUCGGAAUUACUGGGCGUAAAGGGCUCGUAGGUGGCCAACUAAGUCAGACGUGAAAUCCCUCGGCUUAACCGGGGAACUGCGUCUGAUACUGGAUGGCUUGAGUUUGGGAGAGGGAUGCGGAAUUCCUGGUGUAGCGGUGAAAUGCGCAGAUAUCAGGAGGAACACCGAUGGCGAAGGCAGGUCUCUGGGCCACUACUGACGCUGAGAAGCGAAAGCAUGGGGAGCGAACAGG